This 305-nucleotide ribosomal RNA is filed under the name uncultured bacterium. Its description in RNAcentral is "bacterial SSU rRNA". It matches the Rfam family "Bacterial small subunit ribosomal RNA", at positions 333 to 654 of the family's 1533-position model. The record is from RNAcentral.
UCCGUCCUACGGGAGGCAGCAGUGGGGAAUAUUGCACAAUGGGGGAAACCCUGAUGCAGCAACGCCGCGUGAGUGAAGGAGUAUUUCGGUAUGUAAAGCUCUACCAGUAGGGAAGAAGAAAGACGGUACCUGACUAAGAAGCCCCGGCUAACUACGUGCCAGCAGCCGCGGUAAUACGUAGGGGGCAAGCGUUAUCCGGAUUUACUGGGUGUAAAGGGAGCGUAGACGGCUGUGCAAGUCUGAAGUGAAAGCCCGUGGCUCAACCGCGGAACUGCUUUGGAAACUGUAUGGCUUGAGUACUGGAG